Molecule: long non-coding RNA, 691 nt
Organism: Etheostoma cragini (Arkansas darter)
Lineage: Eukaryota; Metazoa; Chordata; Actinopteri; Perciformes; Percidae
Exons: 4
Source: RefSeq, a predicted model, not a curated record
AUCGUUGAUUGGGGAGUGGCAACAUGCCCACAUGCACACAACACAGCUGAUAGGACACACCAGUCGGUUGUGUGCAGGAGAGUUGUAGCUCUCCCAGACCUCUAACCAAUAUUUCCCUACAUAAUUUCAUAUUUAAGUGCACAGAAGCAUGAUUUGACAUGUCUCACAUAUGGGUAGAGUGCUGAGCAGACAGCCUUGACAUGAACAAGACCUUUAAUCUCUCAUUUUAGAUCCCUUGUCUGCGGACUUGUUGGCAUGCCGGCUGCAUGGCUUAGUUUUGGGAUUAUGUCAACGCCUUCAGCAGAUGCUAUUGCAUUAUAUAAAGAGAUAUGCCAUGCUGGAGAGAGUCCACUCACUCCAUUCUGGCCACGGGCAACAAAUUCACAUCCUGUCCUAUCUCUGACAUGGCAACCAAGGAUUUUGGGAGCAUUCCCAAAGCUGCGUGGCAUCACUUGUCAAAGGUCUGAUAUCCCAGCGGAGGCACAGCAGGUUGUGUGAUGGCGGAGAGGAACAGGAUGGAGCUGCUAUUUUUACCUGAAGCCCAGGAGUGAGCUCAACACAGAAGGUGUGUCUGCACAAGUGUGCGUGCGUGGAGAGGAUGCAGUCAAUCAGCAAACCAACAAGGGAGAACUGACGCAAGUGAAUGAGGGAAGGUGGAGAAGUGAUUUCUCCGACACCGAUCUGAGAUGAG